This 413-nucleotide long non-coding RNA is filed under the name Sorghum bicolor (sorghum). RNAcentral describes it as "long non-coding RNA (SBIC_LNC006996)". The record is from RNAcentral. Lineage: Eukaryota; Viridiplantae; Streptophyta; Magnoliopsida; Poales; Poaceae.
CUUGCGGAUCAUUUCCUUAUUGCGUUACCAAAUAUCAACAUCAUUCUCCUCAAAAAGUUUCAAAAGAGCAAGAAAGGUAUGUAUCCCCUCAAAAGAGUAUAAGUAGAAUUAGACUUUCACCAUUAUCACCAUCAUCACCAUACACCAUUCAUUCGCCACACAUGCACAUCUUGAUUUGACUUAUUGACUUGUUCUUUUGGAUCCAUGGUUUGACUAUGCAAUAAAUGUCUUGUAAGUAUGUAUUAGCUGUCUCCCACCUAUGAGCUCCAGAUAUCAAAACCUUAUUAGAGUAGGGUGAGAGAGAAGGCAAUGCUACUAUGCCUCAUACCAAAAAUACUACAUACUUUGAGAGAAGGCAUAUACCACUACUGCCUUGGUAAGGAUCCAGAAAUACCAGAAAAGAGAGACUAGAG